This 511-nucleotide ribosomal RNA is filed under the name earthworm cast bacterium NC4. RNAcentral's name for it is "bacterial SSU rRNA". It matches the Rfam family "Bacterial small subunit ribosomal RNA", at positions 42 to 570 of the family's 1533-position model. The record is from RNAcentral.
GCGUGCUUAACACAUGCAAGUCGAACGGAAAGGCCCUUCGGGGUACUCGAGUGGCGAACGGGUGAGUAACACGUGGGUGAUCUGCCCUGCACUUUGGGAUAAGCCUGGGAAACUGGGUCUAAUACCGAAUAGGACCACGCGCUUCAUGGUGUGUGGUGGAAAGCUUUUGCGGUGUGGGAUGGGCCCGCGGCCUAUCAGCUUGUUGGUGGGGUAAUGGCCUACCAAGGCGACGACGGGUAGCCGGCCUGAGAGGGUGACCGGCCACACUGGGACUGAGAUACGGCCCAAACUCCUACGGGAGGCAGCAGUGGGGAAUAUUGCACAAUGGGCGCAAGCCUGAUGCAGCGACGCCGCGUGAGGGAUGACGGCCUUCGGGUUGUAAACCUCUUUCAAUAGGGACGAAGCGCAAGUGACGGUACCUAUAGAAGAAGCACCGGCCAACUACGUGCCAGCAGCCGCGGUAAUACGUAGGGUGCGAGCGUUGUCCGGAAUUACUGGGCGUAAAGAGCUC